Molecule: ribosomal RNA, 491 nt
Filed under: uncultured bacterium
Lineage: Bacteria
Description: partial 16S ribosomal RNA
Rfam family: Bacterial small subunit ribosomal RNA
Source: RNAcentral
AGUGAACGCUGGCGGUAGGCCUAACACAUGCAAGUCGAACGGCAGCACAGUAAGAGCUUGCUCUUACGGGUGGCGAGUGGCGGACGGGUGAGGAAUACAUCGGAAUCUACUUUUUCGUGGGGGAUAACGUAGGGAAACUUACGCUAAUACCGCAUACGACCUACGGGUGAAAGCAGGGGAUCUUCGGACCUUGCGCGAUUGAAUGAGCCGAUGUCGGAUUAGCUAGUUGGCGGGGUAAAGGCCCACCAAGGCGACGAUCCGUAGCUGGUCUGAGAGGAUGAUCAGCCACACUGGAACUGAGACACGGUCCAGACUCCUACGGGAGGCAGCAGUGGGGAAUAUUGGACAGUGGGCGCAGCCUGAUCCAGCCAUACCGCGUGGGUGAAGAAGGCCUUCGGGUUGUAAAGCCCUUUUGUUGGGAAAGAAAAGCAGCAGGUUAAUACCCCGCUGUUCUGACGGUACCCAAAGAAUAAGCACCGGCUAACUUCGUG